CCCCCUUGCCGCCACCACCCCUUCCUUCUGCCCCGUGCCGGAUCCGCCUGCCGCCGCCACCGCCGCCGCUCUCCUCUGCCCCAUGCCGGACCCUACCUCCUGUCCUCUUCUUCCUCCCGCUACCCUCAUCCCUUCUUACCGCCGCCGAGUCCUCUCCUCUCCCCGUCGGCGCGAGUGCGUGGGUCGCGGCGUGCGGAGAGCGAGGAGGAGAGGACAGACGCGUGAGGAAGAGGAGGCCACGGCCGUCGGCUCCUCUCCCCGUCGGCGCCAGCACGCUGGUCGUGCCUCUCCCCGUUGGCUCCUCUCCUCUCCCCGCCGGCGCCAGUGCGCUGGUCGUGAGGCGUGAGGAGCGUACGGCCCGUUGCAGCCGCCGUGGGCGUGGUUGCGGAUCAGCGCAGGUCACCGCCGUGGGAGAGGUGUGUCGUGGUUCCGGAUUGGCGCAGGUCGUCGCCGCCGAAGAGAAAGGGUGGCCUGGUCUUGUGGUGCUUGUGGAGGAGCAGGGGUGGCCCUUCUCCUACAUCACCACAUCAAGUAGGAGGAGGAGGUCCUCGUCAUCCAUCACAACCGUCAGGGGCUUGCUGACACUGGAUCCAGUGGGGAGGAGAUCCUUUAGGCAUUUGAUUCUUGUGGGAUUCCCACGCAUCUUGCAAGAUAAACAUGCCAUUGUUUUUCACGCACACAUAUGCUUUGAUUUCUGAAUCAGGGCCGGAUAGUAAACUGCACCAUUCUAUAUUACGUUCCUAACCAAAGAUAUAUUGUUUGCUGAUACACUGGUCUUUAUUUGUUAGUUUUUACAGAAUAAAUGUAUCGUGGAUAACUAGCUUUGGGGCAUAUCCCUGCUAUCCUUUCAAAGAAAAACAUUGGUUUAAGUCUACACUUUAUUACGCAGAUGUAGCUUAACACCUUCAAAUUAUUAAUGUGUUCUCACUUUUCUUUAGGUGAUGGAUCAUCCUGAAAAACAGGUUGAGUGCAUCAGCUACUUCCAUGGCAAUGGAUUUAAGGAAUGCAAAUCAACGAGGCACAUUAUCUAACUCGUAUAAACUUAUCAUUGUUUUUACCUUUUCAUGCAGUUUUCCUUUACGAUUAUAGAUGACAUCUUAGCAGAAAGAAUAUAGUUGUGAAAUUUACUGCAAAUGUAAGCCUUGGAGUUUCAUAUUCACCUUGAAGUAUUCUUGAAAUGAAAGAUAGGCUUUGUUGGUUCCUCAGUUUGGAGAACUAGAGUUAUGGCGAUACAUAUUUGGGUAUUGAAACUAUCUGUGUUUGUGAUCAGCUCAUUUUUGUGUUGGAUGCUUAUUUAGCUAGCAGAGACGGCGCCAUCUCCGGCCGCCGGCGCUCUGCAGUGAUGCCUAAAACUGAGUUGUUGUUUAGGCCUCCUUCGGUUCGUAGAUAGGAAUAUCAUCCUGUAGGGAAAGAGACUUCAUUUGAUGCAUAUAUAUAUACUAUGCUGCAUACUUUGUAGAUUUGUAUGGUUCCUAAAUAUACGACAGUGUUUGAUUAAUUUUUGUUCCAGAAAGAAGUAUCUAUCCUGUUUAUAAGGAUCCAUAUUGCAGGAUAUCAAAAUUAGUCAUUACUCAAUGCAGCCAUAUAGAUGACUGCAAAGCAAAAUUUUCAUAUCCUAAACUAUGAUUAAUACAUAGUUAUGAGCAUUUUUUCCUGUUUUACCACAGAUUGCCAUGGUCCAUGUGUUGAAAUCUGAAAUUUUUGAAUAUAUACUACUGGGUUAGUUUUAUUGCGGUAGGAUUAACUGAAGCAUAACUUAAAUGUGGCAUGUCAUUGUAAGAAGAAUCAGCUUUUGAUUAGUAUUUUGAAAUAGGAUAAAAUGAUUCAUCCAUUGAACGCGAAGAGUUCCUACCGGUAUUUGUUGGAUGACGACAAAAAAUAACUUGGGCCGUUCUAGCCCUGUUCCAAACUUCACUCGUAGAGGGUUGAGGGCGGGUGGCAGACGUCCAACCUAGAGCGCUUCAUGUACUGCACCAUCCUGGACGUCAAGGCCCACAUUCUUCUGAGGUGACACUAUUGCACCUCUCAAACCUGGCACCUUAAAUGCUUUGUCGUGUUCAAUUUUCACUGUUGCACCUCUCAAACCUGGCACCUUAAAUGCUUUGUCGUGUUCAAUUUUGCUCAAGAGUUCUGACAGUUUAAGGAUCUGUCAUUGCUUGUAUCUGUUGUGCGUGACAUGACCUUCUAAUUACCGAAUUAGUGCUCAUUGUUCGAUCAUAGACAUGAAAUGUUGAAUAAUGGUAUAGUAUACAUGUAAUGUGUCCGCUCUAUUUCCCUCUUCUCUAUUUUAAGAAUUUUUUUUGCUGCCUGCAGAGAACGAAAUUUGUUUUCUGCUGACACUAUGCAUACUGCCUAAUAAAUACACACACCUGUUGAUCCCCUGUUUUCUUGCUGUUUGACAAAUAGUACAAGCAAAGCAAGUUCAGGUGCUAUUCUAUUUAGAAAUAGCUACACAACACAUAUCAUUUAGUUACUAUGAUCAUUGUGUGUCUCGCUAGAAAUUAAUACACAUACAGGCACAUAUAGAAUCAUAAACCGCACUUACUCCCAGUAUCUUCUUCCCUACGAGGUCGGAGGCGAGCUUCCUGGCGACGGCGGCGGCGCUGGAUUUUCUCAUGGGUUGGUGGUGUAUCUACCGCUGACCUCCGGCACAGAUACACCGACCUCCGGGGCCCCAGCCCCUCCGCCCCCGGCCUCACCUUUCCCGUGUCCGCCCUCGCCGAGCAUUGAAUCUGCCGGCCACCAGGUAACAGUCCCGAAAAGAAAGAGGACUAUGGACCUGAGUGGGAAUGGAGGCAGGAUAUUCUUCUGGAUGGCUAUGCUGAGGUGGUGGUUGGUUCGAUCCAUGGUGUACGCAAAAUCGGUCAGCAUGGUGGAGUUGUGCUGUGGGGAGGACACUGGUUUGGAGAUCUAGGCGACUAUCUGCGUGCUGGGUGGAUCAGUAGCCCACCUCGGGAUAGAGGCAAGCGGCGCUUCACGUGUGCCUCGCCAUGCCACAACAGUGGCGUUGACAAUGUUUAAUCCUAAGACCACUAUUUUUGUGUCUAUAUGCAGUGUUCACUUUGUCUAUAUCUUGGCAAUGUUUAAUCAUAAAACCACUAAUUCUGUGUCUAUAUGCAGUGUUCACUUCAUCUAUAUCAUAUUUAUUUUAUAUGGCAAAUCAUCUUUCGAAAUUAACCAAGCCUAACUACACAGUAGGAAUAUGGUGAAAACUAAUAUGAAACAACAACUUUUGUCACAUAUACCAAACCAAGGUUGCUUAUCAGUAAACACCUCAUUAUUUAGCAUAUGCUUUAGGGCCAAAUUAUGUUUCAUGUGCCAUUAUUAUUGCCUUUUUUAAUACAUUAUUUAAAUCCUUACGUGACACCAAUCUUAAACAGGUCCAUCUAUCAACGAUGUCGAGAAAGCUCUACCACAAGAAAGUGAUGACUCUGCCUGGUGUCACCGGCUUCAUGUUUUGCUCCUCCGUACCCAUAGACUAGAAGACUAGGGCUAUAUAGAUUGAUUUUUAAAACCAAUGUAAAUAAGUUGUUUUCGGCUAUCAUGCUACCUCGCAUUGUAAUAUAUAUUGCUAUGUAUGAACAUAUGCUACCCAAGUAUAUAUUUCCUUAUGCUUAAA
This is a long non-coding RNA of Triticum dicoccoides, 3619 nucleotides long. RefSeq lists it as uncharacterized. The transcript has 3 exons. NCBI's taxonomy places the organism in Eukaryota, Viridiplantae, Streptophyta, Magnoliopsida, Poales, Poaceae. The record is from RefSeq and is a predicted model, not a curated record.